Molecule: ribosomal RNA, 422 nt
Filed under: Bos taurus (domestic cattle)
Lineage: Eukaryota; Metazoa; Chordata; Mammalia; Artiodactyla; Bovidae
Description: partial 12S ribosomal RNA
Rfam family: Bacterial small subunit ribosomal RNA
Source: RNAcentral
AGAACCCACUAUGCUUAGCCCUAAACACAGAUAAUUACAUAAACAAAAUUAUUCGCCAGAGUACUACUAGCAACAGCUUAAAACUCAAAGGACUUGGCGGUGCUUUAUAUCCUUCUAGAGGAGCCUGUUCUAUAAUCGAUAAACCCCGAUAAACCUCACCAAUUCUUGCUAAUACAGUCUAUAUACCGCCAUCUUCAGCAAACCCUAAAAAGGAAAAAAAGUAAGCGUAAUUAUGAUACAUAAAAACGUUAGGUCAAGGUGUAACCUAUGAAAUGGGAAGAAAUGGGCUACAUUCUCUACACUAAGAGAAUCAAGCACGAAAGUUAUUAUGAAACCAAUAACCAAAGGAGGAUUUAGCAGUAAACUAAGAAUAGAGUGCUUAGUUGAAUUAGGCCAUGAAGCACGCACACACCGCCCGUCAC